This 490-nucleotide ribosomal RNA is filed under the name uncultured bacterium. RNAcentral's name for it is "partial 16S ribosomal RNA". It matches the Rfam family "Bacterial small subunit ribosomal RNA", at positions 30 to 507 of the family's 1533-position model. The record is from RNAcentral.
AUUGAACGCUGGCGGCAGGCCUAACACAUGCAAGUCGAACGGUAACAGGAAGAAGCUUGCUUCUUUGCUGACGAGUGGCGGACGGGUGAGUAAUGUCUGGGAAACUGCCUGAUGGAGGGGGAUAACUACUGGAAACGGUAGCUAAUACCGCAUAACGUCGCAAGACCAAAGAGGGGGACCUUCGGGCCUCUUGCCAUCGGAUGUGCCCAGAUGGGAUUAGCUAGUAGGUGGGGUAACGGCUCACCUAGGCGACGAUCCCUAGCUGGUCUGAGAGGAUGACCAGCCACACUGGAACUGAGACACGGUCCAGACUCCUACGGGAGGCAGCUGUGGGGAAUAUUGCACAAUGGGCGCAAGCCUGAUGCAGCCAUGCCGCGUGUAUGAAGAAGGCCUUCGGGUUGUAAAGUACUUUCAGCGGGGAGGAAGGGAGUAAAGUUAAUACCUUUGCUCAUUGACGUUACCCGCAGAAGAAGCACCGGCUAACUCCGUG